AUGAUAUUGAAUUGAAUCUCCUUGAAUCUCUCUAGUCCUUCUAGAGAGAGAAAAUCUCUUUAUAGUUUUCUUUCUUUUUCAGUCUCGAGUUCGGCAAGUUCUCUUUCUGGUGGCCUCCAUAGUGGUUUGUUUGGCCUGGUAAAGGAUUUCCCUCCCUUUUUUCCAAUUUGGUUGUCCAUAGUUUUGCUUUUUUUGUCUUGUUUGCAAUAUCUUGGGGUGAGCGUAUAGAGGGUUUGAAUGAAGGAUUUGGUUGGGG
Molecule: unclassified non-coding RNA, 256 nt
Filed under: Hevea brasiliensis (rubber tree)
Lineage: Eukaryota; Viridiplantae; Streptophyta; Magnoliopsida; Malpighiales; Euphorbiaceae
Source: RNAcentral